This is a long non-coding RNA of Oreochromis aureus, 1200 nucleotides long. The record is from Ensembl. NCBI's taxonomy places the organism in Eukaryota, Metazoa, Chordata, Actinopteri, Cichliformes, Cichlidae.
GUGCCUCCCGGUGAUCACGCGCACUUCUUCAGAGCGGGAACAAACAUCCAGAGAAAACUGCUUCUGCACCGGAGCAGAGGACCGGAGGACCGGAGGAGGAGGAGGUGUUUGUCCGCUUUGAAAAAUCCGCUGAAGACAAGUCCCUCACUCACCGUGUGCGCGUGCGCGUGAAUCGAUGAGAUGCGUGCUUGAUUGGAUCUCCCUGUUUGCAAUAAUGUGCAUGAGGAGGAGGAGGAGGCUCGGGCUGCCGAUGAGACUUGCUCCUUCUGCCCAGGAGCGCCUCCCUCUGCGCUCCUACUAGAACAAGGAGCCGUGUCCGCGCGCAGGUGAGCUCUCUCAGGUGAGGCCGCCGUGAGGAGGCGCGGAGCCGCUCCCAGGCUCGCGGACGAGAGCAAAGUUUGGAGGAGGAGGUUUUCCGGCGCUCGGAUCCUCGCGCAGACCCGGCACCCUGGGGUGCACCGGCCACACUUUCUCCCCAGUGACGGGCAGCUGGGGCCCUCGGGCCUCUGCGCUUUCUAUCUGCCUUGACAUCCACGUCGGCGUCACGGCUGCUCCACGCCUGCUCCACGCCUGCCUGAAUUAGUGCUUCUGCGCUGGGGCUAAAACGGCCAGCAGUCUGCCCUGCCCCAGGGCCAGAAGACGAGAGGUCAAUCUGCUCAAAUGAUUUUCCACUUUGGCACAGAGCGAGGACUCGUAGCUCCGGGAUGCCUCCCGCUCCUCAAAUGCUCAGAGGUGGAGUUUGAUCGGCGCUGACGGACGGCGACGAAGCGUGGAGACGGCAGACAUGUGCUGACCAGCAGAUCGCCAUCAUCACGCCUCUGACCACGCUCAUUGAUGUGCUGUGUGUAUGUGAGUGUGUGUGUGUGUUUGUGUGUGUGUGUGUGUGUGUGUGUGUGUGUGUGUGUGUGUGUGUGUGUGUGUGUGUGUGUGUGUGUGUGUGUGUGUGUGUGUGUGUGUGUGUGUGUGUGUGUGUGUGUGUGUGUGUGUGUGUGUGUGUGUGUGUGUGUGUGUGUGUGUGUGUGUGUGUGUGUGUGUGUGUGUGUGUGUGUGUGUGUGUGUGUGUGUGUGUGUGUGAGUGUGUGUGUGUGUGUGUGUGUGUGUGUGUGUGUGUGUGUGUGUGUGUGUGUGUGUGUGUGUGUGUGUGUGUGUGUGUGUGUGUGUGUGUGUGUGUGUGUGUGUGUGUGUGUGUGUGUGUGUGUG